Non-coding RNA from Trichobilharzia regenti, 50 nucleotides. NCBI's taxonomy places the organism in Eukaryota, Metazoa, Platyhelminthes, Trematoda, Strigeidida, Schistosomatidae. The record is from Rfam.
GUACUACUGAAGAGUCCCAAACUAGGACGAGGGAAACAGCUGUCCAGUAC